GGAAGUGGCACACUGCUCAGUAACACGUAGCUAACCUACCCUUAGGACGUGGAUACCCCCGAGAAAUUGGGGUUAAUCCGCGAUAGAUGUAAUGUCCUGGAAUGGUAUUACGUCUAAAGGUAUUUCAUACAUGUUUGAAAUAUGCCUAAGGAUGGGGCUGCGGCCGAUCAGGCUGUUGGUGAGGUAAUGGCUCACCAAACCUUUGACCGGUACGGGCCAUGAGAGUGGUAGCCCGGAGAUGGACACUGAGACAAGGGUCCAGGCCCUAAGGGGCGCAGCAACCGCGAAACCUCCACAAUGCACUCACGUGCGAUGGGGCUAUCUCGAGUGCCACCUGAUGAAGGUGGCUUUUCCUUGGUCUUCAAAGCCUUGGGAAUAAGAGGGGGGCAAGACUGGUGUCAGCCGCCGCGGUAACACCAGCCCCUCGAGUGGUGGGGAUGAUUAUUUGGCCUAAAGCGUCCGUAGCCGGCCGAGCAAGUCUUCCGUUAAAUCCAGCGUCUCAAGCGUUGGACCGCGGGAGAUACUACACGGCUAGAGAGUGGGAGAGGUCAGCGGUAUUCUGGGGGUAGGGGCGAAAUCCUUUGAUCCCCGGAGGACCACCAGUGGCGAAGGCUGCUGACUAGAACACGUCUGACGGUCAGGGACGAAAAGCUGGGGUAGCGAACCGGAUUAGAUACCCGGGUAGUCCCAGCCGUAAACGAUGCAUGCUAGGUGUUGGGUUGGCCACGAGCCACCCCAGUGCCGCAGGGAAGCCGUUAAGCAUGCCGCCUGGGAAGUACGAUCGCAAGAUUGAAACUUAAAGGAAUUGGCGGGGGAGCACCACCAGGCGUGAAGCCUGCGGUUUAAUUGGAGUCAACGCCGGGAACCUUACCGGGAGCGACAGCAGGAUGAAGGCCAGAUUGAAGAUCUUGCCAGACGAGCUGAGAGGAGGUGCAUGGCCGUCGCCAGAUCGUGCCGUGAGGUGUUCUCUUAAGUGAGAUAACGAACGAGACCCGUGCCACAUGUUGCCACCAGUAUCUAAAGGAUAGCUGAGCACUCUUGUGGGACCGCAGCCGAUAAGGCUGAGGAAGGUACGGGCAACGGCAGGUCAGUAUGCCCCGAAUCUCCCGGGCCACACGCGGGCUGCAAUGGUACAGACAGAGGGCUGCCACCCCGAAAGGGGGAGCCAAUCCCUAAACUGUACCUCAGUUGGGAUCGAGGGUUGCAACCCACCCUCGUGAACAUGGAAUGCCUAGUAACCGCCAGUCAUCAUCUGGCGGUGAAUACGUCCCUGCUCCUUGCACACACUGCCCGUCGAACCACCCGAAUGAGGUUUGGGUGAGGAAUGGUCGAAUGUUGGCCGUUUCGAACCUGGGCCUCGUAAGGAGGGUUAAGUCGUAACAAGGUG
RNAcentral lists this ribosomal RNA (1387 nucleotides) under metagenome. Its description in RNAcentral is "bacterial SSU rRNA". It matches the Rfam family "Archaeal small subunit ribosomal RNA". The record is from RNAcentral.